Molecule: non-coding RNA, 149 nt
Organism: Caenorhabditis elegans
Lineage: Eukaryota; Metazoa; Nematoda; Chromadorea; Rhabditida; Rhabditidae
Source: Ensembl
UUUAUUCGAUUCUGGCUGUCGCAUCCACUUUGAUCUCAUGCUUUCUGAAUUAUAUUAUGAUGAGCUGAAACAGUACUUUAGAUGACUUUUUAUUCGUAUCUUCUUAUUUACAUGCGUGAUACAAUGAAACUGACUCGUGACUGAUGUAA